This 32-nucleotide non-coding RNA is filed under the name Mus musculus (house mouse). Lineage: Eukaryota; Metazoa; Chordata; Mammalia; Rodentia; Muridae. The record is from RNAcentral.
UCACACCAUGAAUGUGCACAGGCACAAGUGUG